ACAAAGGGCAGCAAACUCGCGAGAGCUAGCAAAUCCCAUAAACCGUGGCUCAGUUCAGAUCGUAGGCUGCAACUCGCCUACGUGAAGGAGGAAUCGCUAGUAAUCGCAGGUCAGCAUACUGCGGUGAAUACGUUCCCGGGCCUUGUACACACCGCCCGUCACACCAUGGAAGUUGGCCACGCCCGAAGCCGUUACUCCAACCCUUGUGGAGGAGGACGUCGAAGGUGGGGCUGAUGACUGGGGUGAAGUCGUAACAAGGUAGCCGUACCGGAAGGUGCGGCUGGAUCACCUCCUAAC
RNAcentral lists this ribosomal RNA (297 nucleotides) under uncultured Synechococcus sp. Its description in RNAcentral is "partial 16S ribosomal RNA". It matches the Rfam family "Bacterial small subunit ribosomal RNA", at positions 1239 to 1533 of the family's 1533-position model. The record is from RNAcentral. Lineage: Bacteria; Bacillati; Cyanobacteriota; Cyanophyceae; Synechococcales; Synechococcaceae.